GACGAACGCUGGCGGCGUGCUUAACACAUGCAAGUCGAACGGAAAGGCCCUGCUUUUGUGGGGUGCUCGAGUGGCGAACGGGUGAGUAACACGUGAGUAACCUGCCCUUGACUUUGGGAUAACUUCAGGAAACUGGGGCUCAUACCGGAUAGGAGCUCCUGCUGCAUGGUGGGGGUUGGAAAGUUUCGGCGGUUGGGGAUGGACUCGCGGCUUAUCAGCUUGUUGGUGGGGUAGUGGCUUACCAAGGCUUUGACGGGUAGCCGGCCUGAGAGGGUGACCGGCCACAAUGGGACUGAGAUACGGCCCAGACUCCUACGGGAGGCAGCAGUGGGGAGUAUUACACAGUGGGCGGAAGCCUGAUGCAGCAACGCCGCGUGCGGGAUGACGGCCUUCGGGUUGUAAACCGCUUUCGCCGGUGACGAAGCGUGAGUGACGGUAAUGGAUAAAGAAGCACCGGCUAACUACGUG
RNAcentral lists this ribosomal RNA (468 nucleotides) under uncultured bacterium. Its description in RNAcentral is "partial 16S ribosomal RNA". It matches the Rfam family "Bacterial small subunit ribosomal RNA", at positions 28 to 507 of the family's 1533-position model. The record is from RNAcentral.